This 752-nucleotide ribosomal RNA is filed under the name uncultured organism. RNAcentral's name for it is "bacterial SSU rRNA". It matches the Rfam family "Bacterial small subunit ribosomal RNA", at positions 96 to 869 of the family's 1533-position model. The record is from RNAcentral.
CGGCAGACGGGUGAGUAACACGUAUGUGAUCUACCCCAGAGACGGGGAUAACGGGUGGAAACAUCCGCUAAUACCGGAUAGGCUUGUUCGGUCAAAGGGACAAGGAAAGGCUCCGGCGCUCUGGGAGGAGCCUGCGGCCCAUCAGCUAGUUGGCGGGGUAACGGCCCACCAAGGCAAAGACGGGUAGGGGGUGUGAGAGCAUGGCCCCCCACAAUGGGACUGGAACACGGCCCAUACUCCUACGGGAGGCAGCAGCAGGGAAUAUUGCACAAUGGACGGAAGUCUGAUGCAGCGACGCCGCGUGGAUGAAGAAGGCCCUCGGGUUGUAAAAUCCUUUACAGGGGGAAGAGGAAGGACGGUACCCCUGGAACAAGUGUCGGCUAACUACGUGCCAGCAGCCGCGGUAAGACGUAGGACACAAGCGUUAUCCGGAUUUACUGGGCGUAAAGCGUCUGCAGGCGGACAGGUAAGUUGGGCGUGAAAGCUCCGGGCCCAACCCGGAGAGGUCGUUCAAUACUGCGUGUCUAGAGGGUGUCCAGAGGGGAGUGGAAUUUCCGGAGUAGCGGUAAAAUGCGCAGAGAUCGGAAAGAACACCAAUGGCGAAGGCAGCUCCCUGGGGCAACCCUGACGCUAAGAGACGAAAGCUAGGGGAGCGAACAGGAUUAGAGACCCUGGUAGUCCUAGCCCCUAAACGAUGGAUGCUGGAUGUGCGGCCAUAGCGCUCCGUGUCGAAGCGAACGCGUUAAGCAUCC